This 292-nucleotide ribosomal RNA is filed under the name uncultured bacterium. RNAcentral describes it as "partial 16S ribosomal RNA". The record is from RNAcentral.
GGACUACUGGGGUAUCUAAUCCUGUUUGCUCCCCACGCUUUCGCGUCUCAGCGUCAGUCACCGUCCAGAGGGCCGCCUUCGCCACCGGUGUUCCUCCUGAUAUCUACGCAUUUCACCGCUACACCAGGAAUUCCACCCUCCUCUCCGGGACUCCAGCUCGCCAGUUUCCAAUGCACUUCCGGGGGUGAGCCCCGGGCUUUCACAUCAGACCCAACGAGCCGCCUACACGCGCUUUACGCCCAGUGAUUCCGAACAACGCUCGCACCCUCCGUAUUACCGCGGCUGCUGGCAC